RNAcentral lists this long non-coding RNA (718 nucleotides) under Arabidopsis lyrata. Its description in RNAcentral is "long non-coding RNA (ALYR_LNC002851)". The record is from RNAcentral. Lineage: Eukaryota; Viridiplantae; Streptophyta; Magnoliopsida; Brassicales; Brassicaceae.
UCAUCUGCUUUGUUGGGUCUGCUGGAUUGGUCGUGUUUGCUGGGCAGGCUAGGUUUCGUUCCAAUUGCUGGUCAAUCGGAUGGUAGUUUGUUGCUCGUCAUCUACUAGCCUUCUUUUGUGGCUCUUUUGAGUUGUGAUAUAGGUUCUAGGCAAGCAGUGGAUUCGACUUUCAUCUUUUCUCUUGCGAGGAGGUUACCAGUUUUAUGUCUGUAGAUGGCUGAAGAUGGGUCGACGAGGGUCCGUGUGUAAGAGGUGUUUGUCUUCCUUGGCUUGUCUCUGGUCGAAUCUCAAGGUUUUUUUCCUUGUGCUUAGUUUUUGCUCGCUUUCCUCGGCUGUUCUCUGUAUGUCCUGAUAUUGGUGGCUUCUGUUUCUAUGUUAUCGUUUGAGUCCUGCUUUCGCUCCUGUCGGUCUUGAUGAAGGGUUGUCUACGGUGGGCUAUCUAAGUAUAUACCCCUUCCGGUCUAUUGGGUUCUCUCCAGCGUUUACCUGUGCUAUGGGAAGCUUUGUGGGUUUCACUCCGUUUCAGUGGGCAGUUUUUUGUGCUUUGGGUUUUGCUCGCUUCUCAAGUGAAUUGAUUCCUUAGGUUUUUGUCUUUUCUUUAUCAUGAUGUUUAAUCCUCGUAUCUGGAGGUUUGCUACCUGCCAGCUUUGGUUUCCCUUUUUUGGGCUUUAGCUUCCGGAGAUUUCUCCUUUUUCUUCCGGCAUUAAUUUUUAUCAAG